This 675-nucleotide ribosomal RNA is filed under the name uncultured ciliate. RNAcentral's name for it is "bacterial SSU rRNA". It matches the Rfam family "Eukaryotic small subunit ribosomal RNA", at positions 319 to 1019 of the family's 1831-position model. The record is from RNAcentral. Lineage: Eukaryota; Ciliophora.
CUGGAUGGUAGUGUAUUGGACUACCAUGGCGGUCACGGGUAACGGAGAAUUAGGGUUCGAUUCCGGAGAGGGAGCCUGAGAAACGGCUACCACAUCUAAGGAAGGCAGCAGGCGCGUAAAUUACCCAAUCCCGAUUCGGGGAGGUAGUGACAAGAAAUGACAAUUCGGGGCUUUAGGGCUUACGUAGUUGCAAUGAGUUUAAUUUAAAUCACUAUUCGAAUACCACUAGAGGGCAAGUCUGGUGCCAGCAGCCGCGGUAAUUCCAGCUCUAGUAGCGUAUAUUAAAGUUGUUGCAGUUAAAAAGCUCGUAGUUGAAUUUCUGGCAUUUUGCGUGUAGCUUCGGCGGCAUGCGAGGUGUCAUCCUCUCGGGAAUCACAUCGGAGUUUAAUCGCUCUAUGUGUGGAACGGGAUCUUUACUGUGAAAAAAUUAGAGUGUUUCAGGCAGGCUUGAGCCUAGAUACAUGAGCAUGGAAUAAUGGAAUAGGAGAAGGUCCAUUUUAUUGGUUAUUGGAUUUUUUAAUGAUUAAUAGGGACAGUUGGGGACAUUCGUAUCUAAUUGUCAGAGGUGAAAUUCUUGGAUUUAUUAGCGACGAACUAAUGCGAAAGCAUUUGUCAAGGAUGUUUUCAUUAAUCAAGAACGAAAGUUAGGGGAUCAAAGACGAUCAGAUACCCGUC